GCGGUGGUUCAGUGCUAGAAUUCCUGCCUUGCAUGCCGGAGACCUGAGUUCUAAUCCCAGCAACGCA
RNAcentral lists this transfer RNA (67 nucleotides) under Loxodonta africana (African savanna elephant). It matches the Rfam family "tRNA". From Rfam's summary of the family: Transfer RNA (tRNA) molecules are approximately 80 nucleotides in length. Lineage: Eukaryota; Metazoa; Chordata; Mammalia; Proboscidea; Elephantidae. The record is from Rfam by way of RNAcentral.